AAACUAACAAGGAUUCCCCUAGUAACGGCGAGUGAAGAGGGAAGAGCCCAAGAUUGAAAGCUGGCGUCUUCGGCGUCCGCAUUGUAAUCUCAAGAAGUGUUUUCCGCUUCGGACCAUGCCUAAGUCCCUUGGAAAAGGGCAUCAUAGAGGGUGAUAAUCCCGUACAUGGCAUGGAGCGCCCGAAGCUUUGUGAUACGCUUUCUAAGAGUCGAGUUGUUUGGGAAUGCAGCUCAAAAUGGGUGGUAAAUGCCAUCUAAGGCUAAAUAUUGGGGAGAGACCGAUAGCGAACAAGUACAGUGAUGGAAAGAUGAAAAGAACUUUGAAAAGAGAGUUAAACAGUACGUGAAAUUGCCAAAAGGGAAGGGUAGGAGGUCAGAGAUGCGGCCUGGGAUUCAGCCUUGCUUUUGCUUGGUGUUUUUCCCAGAUUGCAGGCCAACGUCGGUUUUGGGCACUGGAGAAGGGUAGGAGGAACGUGGCACCUCUCGGGGUGUGUUAUAGCCUCCUACUGGAUACAGCGACCGAGACCGAGGACAGCAGCGUACUCGCAAGAGCGGGCCUUCGGGCACCUUUACGCUUAGGGCGUUGGCAUAAUGGCCCUCUACCACCCGUCUUAAAAACCCGGAA
This 624-nucleotide ribosomal RNA is filed under the name Dirkmeia churashimaensis. RNAcentral describes it as "LSU rRNA". It matches the Rfam family "Eukaryotic large subunit ribosomal RNA", at positions 62 to 664 of the family's 3401-position model. Lineage: Eukaryota; Fungi; Basidiomycota; Ustilaginomycetes; Ustilaginales; Ustilaginaceae. The record is from RNAcentral.